RNAcentral lists this long non-coding RNA (2386 nucleotides) under Sipha flava (yellow sugarcane aphid). Its description in RNAcentral is "uncharacterized LOC112680576". The record is from RNAcentral. Lineage: Eukaryota; Metazoa; Arthropoda; Insecta; Hemiptera; Aphididae.
ACUGUCGAAUAAACGACCGGCACCCAUAACAAGGACACACAACUCUCUCCCAGCGCUCUUGUUCAUAAGCCAACAGCGAGUGUGUAAGAGUCUCUUGAUCUUAGGUCGCCAGUAUGUGCGAACCGACCGUUAGAUUAAUAAAUUAAUUUUUUGUGACGAGUGAUUAUCACGUGUGACUAUAUCGUUUUUAAAUUCAUUUUUCCAUUUAACUUCUCUGUGCAAGUGUUGAGAAGAGUCCAGUUUCGGUACAUCAAAUCCUGUGUCUAUUUCACUUAAUUUCAAACUCAUUAUACUCGCGUCCAAUGUUCGAUCGAUUUAUGUGUUUUUCAAUUCCGAUCACUGUAGCGCUCCUACCGUACGCGACCACUACGCGUGAUUGCUUUCUGCUUCCUCUGCGGGUGGCCCCGAAUCCUGGUCUAGAUGACUGAAAGACCAAGGUGUGUUCGGUUGAAGUUCUAUUUGCGCUGCAACAACGUUCGAUCUCCGAUCGGGUUAUCUUCACGUGUCUUGCUCAUACUUUUCCCGCUUUAACUCUUCGAGGUUUCACGUAUCACGGUUGUUGCGCCGGCGCAACACCCGCAUCUGAAGAACCGCGAGACGGCCCACUGGUCCGUGAUGAACACGACGUCGGUAGUCGGACGGGUGGCCGUUACGGAUUGCGGCUCUCAAACGGACCCCAUGUCUGUCACUGCCGUCGGCACUCGAGUGGCCAACCACGACGUCACGUGCGGCGAUUCCGGCGUAACGUUUGCAGACGGGUGCACGACCUACCCGGUCGCCAGUGAAGUAACGUCCGACGUGACCAAAGCCAGCGGGAGGCGCUUUCCGGUCCAGAUACGAACGCGGACAUCACGGCUGUUGAUGGAGGAGACUUUGCCGCCGCCUGUAUGUUGCAGGGAGACCACAUUGACGAGUGUCACCGUGGCCGUAGGACGAGACGACGAAAUCGUUCCCUCCGUUUUACCGAAGAUAGAUUUUGAACUGAGCCAAAGCGAACAUGAAUAAUUAUAACAGAAACAACAGAAAAGUAGUAAACAGAAUGGAGAAAAAAAUGCUGUUAUUUUCUGAUGGAGUAUUGUCCCGUGCAUUGGAUCAGAGAAAAUAAUCUUUUCACAUACGACAAUUACCUCAAUAACAUCCAAGAAUUUUUGAAAAGCCACAAUAUCAACUGACGGAUGGAACGGACGUAAUUUUACUGUCCUCGUCUGUUUGUAAAUUUGUACAUAGAUUUUAAGUUCAAAAGUAUCUCCAGUAAAGGUAAUUCGCCCAAUCAUGGAGUCCUCGUCCGACCUAGGAGUUGUGCUCUUUUAUUAUGUGUUUACUUAUUUCCAUACUGAGAAAUCAAUUGAAAAAUUCAAAAGCAGGUGCUAUGAAAUACCUCUAUUAUCAACUGUGUAUAAUACAUUUAAAUGUUUAUAAAUGUAAACGAUAUCAUAUGAGAUUUCGAUGCUAAUUAAAGCCUAAAAAUGGGUUUAUAUAAAAAUAAAAUAUAUAUACGUAGGCUGUUCAAAAAGUAAUGGUAAUAACGUUAUCUAGAAAAAAAUAUUUAUUUAAUCAUCCAUUUUUACAAGCUCUUUUUCAAAGUAACCCCCUACGGUUAUAAUACACUUUUUCCAUCGUUCUUGCCACUUUUUAAAUAGGAGUACCAGACCAUCUAUCUUUCUCGAGCUCUUUGCACCGCGCCUCCACAGCUUUGAUGACCUCUUGAUUGCUGUUGAAUUUCCAACCCCUGAGUGGAUACUUGAUUUCAGAGAACAGCCAGAAAUCGCAUGAGGCUAAAUCUUGACUAUUCGGAGGGUGGGGUACAGUUUUGAUGCCACGAGCGUUUAAAAAAUUUAAUAUAGUAUGGGUGAUGUGGGGCCGUGCAUUAUCAUGAUGCAGUAAAAUUUUAUUAAUUUUCUUAUGGGGUCGUUUUUUUUUUUUUUUUUGAAAUGACGCAACAUUUUGGUUAAAAUUUAUUUAUAAUAUAUAAUAAAUUAUUAUUAUUUAUAAUAAAGUUAAUGAUUCAUAUGUAUAUUUUCGGUUCUUUCCAAGUUUCACUAAUAAUUUCACGUUACAACGUUGCUAUAACUUAUUACUCACAGUGGAAAUGGUAGGCGAAUAUGUACAUGCAUUAUAUAAAUUGACACUGACGCCCACUCACUGCACCGAUCGACUUGUAACUCGACAUUUAGAUAGAUAAGAUAAUGGACUAUACGAUAAUAUGCAUUGUGAGCAGCUUUUACAACAAAUUUUCCAUCAGCAUCAUUAUUAUCAUUAAUUUUUGAACAGCCUACGUAUUUGUUAUCACUAUUUACUCUCGACUUAAAAUAAAUAUAGAAUAGUAUAUCAGUGAAAUAAUAGUUGGAAUAGAGUUAAGAAAAUCUGAAAUAAUUAAAAUAAUAAA